Molecule: ribosomal RNA, 482 nt
Filed under: uncultured bacterium
Lineage: Bacteria
Description: partial 16S ribosomal RNA
Rfam family: Bacterial small subunit ribosomal RNA
Source: RNAcentral
GACGAACGCUGGCGGCGUGCUUAACACAUGCAAGUCAAACGAUGAAGAAGAGCUUGCUCUUCGGAUUAGUGGCGAACGGGUGAGUAACACGUGACUAACCCGCCCCUUUCUCUGGGAUAACGCUCCGAAAGGAGUGCUAAUACCGGAUACUCACAUCGAGGCACAUGCCUUGAUGUGGAAAGUUUUUCGGAAAGGGAUGGAGUCGCGGCCUAUCAGCUUGUUGGUGAGGUAACGGCUCACCAAGGCGACGACGGGUAGCCGGCCUGAGAGGGCGACCGGCCACACUGGGACUGAGACACGGCCCAGACUCCUACGGGAGGCAGCAGUGGGGAAUAUUGCACAAUGGGCGAAAGCCUGAUGCAGCGACGCCGCGUGAGGGAUGAAGGUCUUCGGAUUGUAAACCUCUUUCAGUAGGGACGAAGCGAAAGUGACGGUACCUAAAGAAGAAGCACCGGCUAACUACGUGCCAGCCGCCGCCGUAA